GGAAAUAGAAAACUCAGAAAGGGAUGAAUUUGAAUAGCAUUAUUACUUUUGGUCAGGAUUUGCCAAGUUGGACUCUUUAAAACUGACUGGCCAUCCCAGGAGACUGCUGCCUGGCUCCUGGCUGCAAAGCCUGUGGUUUUCAGAGGAGGAUUAAUGAACGACAGACACCGCAGGCCUCCGUGGCUUUGCCACUUGCCUGAGCAUUAAUGUAGCUGAGCUCUGGAGGAGGCGUUUGAUUUCUCGGAGCCCUGGGAAUCGCUGUGGCUUCAUCUCUUCCAAAAGAAUACACAGAAGCAUCGGCCAUUGCCACAGUCCACGAAUGCACAAGGCUUCAUGAAAGUUUCUGUCUUUGGAGAAUUUCUGCUCUGGUUUUGGGGGCUGAUACCCUUGGCAGGUGUUUAUUUAAAUCCUGAGAUUAAAAAUAAGACAUUCCCAAAUGGUGCAGCAGAUGCUAUACGGACUAUGUUUUGGGAUACAAAAGUUCCUCACCCCCACUGGGCAGGUGGAGAGUUGGCAUUUGAUGUGCUUCUGGUAAUUAUUUGGCAGAUAAAAAAGAGAUGGGUUCCCAGACCCACUACCCUGUAAGGCCGCGAGCAUUGAGGAUUGGUCAAUUAAAGUGCAAUUCUGAUUUGGAAGCCACCCAACUGAGGCUUCACUGUUGCUCUGCAGCCAUGGGGGAACAGGAGCAUCUCUGGACAGCCCUUGUCCUCAGGUUCUGAGGAAGUCUUUUUAUCAGAAAUGCCUCCCCAAAUUUAAAGAUGUACUGUGUUAUUUUGAAAAAGUGCUUAAGAGAGAAAAGGCAUUAUUAACUGUCUUUAUUUCCUUGGAAGCACCACAACAGAGAAUUCACCCAGGGUUCCACUGAAAGAACCUUUUGGGUAAGUGUUUUGUAAACGCAGAUGGCUGACUAAACAUUCUCUGUGCCAGGUGACCCUUGGUUCUGAGCAUUGCAGAGGGCGGCUCUGCUCUCAUUCUCAACACCUCUGAGCUGAGGCUGGGAUUCUCCAAGGUGGAGUCACCAAGGUGGGCUUCUAAAACUGAAACUCCUAUAAAACGUAUGGUCGACAGCUAACCACAAUGAUAAAACACAGACUGAGAUUUCAUCUCCAAAUGGGGAUUUCUUUUCAGAUGAGUCUGGAAUGGCUUCACCACCGAAGGUGAGUGACAACUGAAAAUAAUUUUAAAAAACCAUCUCCUUUAUCUCUGAUUUAUCUAGCGUGGCUGUGCAUUCAUACUUUUCAGACCCUAUGUAGUGUUUCAGUUCCAGAUUCCUGUUUGAGAAUUUCCUUGCCUGCUCUUGAUCCAGUGGAUGUGGAGUAGGUGGGCUCCAGCCAGAAGUGCUCUGCAGGGGCUACGCUUUCUCCCAAACAUGCUUGCUGGCGGUGGAUGAGGGUGCCUGACAGAGGCCUCGUGUUCCUGGGUGAGGGCGAUCAGUGGCUCCCAAGGCAGUGGUGAGCAAGGCGGCUGGUACUAAUCUUGUACUAAACAGCAACAGUUAUUCGGAGAGCUUGGCCAGCCCCCAAAGAGGCUGAUGGGGGAUUUUUUUUUCUUUUUUUUUAGAUAGUGAUCUGGGAUCCCAAGAAUGCUUCCUACUUGUUGACUUUUAGUGUUAAUUCAGUCUACUGGCCGGGGCCACCACUUUCAAUAGCUGUUUUUCAUUAUUGUUUGCAUUAAAAAGAAUACCUCAGCCCCCAAACUUCAGUAAAGUUGGGAACUUGUUUAAAAUAAGAAAGCAGUUUAUAGAAGCCAUACUUAAAUAUGCCAAGAUGAUCUCUAGCUGCACAGCAAACCCGAGCUCCCACAGCAAAGUAACGAAGAACAAGAGUCCAUUCAGCACAAAAAACUAAAUACGCUGCAGAGGCAGGGUGGGGCCGCAGUGGGCAGGCGAAGGCCUCUGCACCACUGCCAUCACCGUCUGCAGUGCUGGCACAAGGGGCCCACGAGCUCCUGCAGCAGUGGCUCUGGGCUGGCUUCACAAGAGCCACGGGAUUUUUUUAAGCUGCAGUUGGUCCCCUGCUGGGUCGAGUCACAGAGGUUCAGAACAAGCCUCAGAUGGAACGUCUCAGGGCUUCCGCAGGAAACAUAUCAGCUACUCGAGAAAAGCUGAUUCGAGCUGCAGGUGACGGUGGUGACAUGAGCAGAGGGCCGUCUGCUUGGCCAUGUCUCCAGGGUAUCCUGGGAAAGCUAAGCACUCAAACCGAGAUUCCAGAUGCUUCAGGGUCUUUUGUUUCUCUCAAGUGGUGAGCCAGCUACAUCUGAUUAUCCUUUUCAAGGGGGAGAUGGAUUUAAAGGCAGGGUAGUUUGCUUUCAAGCAGUGUGGCACCCUGUAAGGACAAGCACGAGUCCAGGAAGUCUCUGGGGGCCUGGCCAUUUCUGUUUUGGUGCUAAGCACCGUCAGGACCUUGCUCAAUGAGGUGCUAGAGACUCCUGGCUUUCUGCCACAGGCGGCUGCUCCCAGGAAAGAGAGCACAAGAGGGCCAGCUCUUUUCUGGAAGGUUCUGUUCACCGUGUCUCAAGCCCCACUUAAAGUGCCUGGAACUGCCUAUGUCUCCUGUUUAAAUGGAAGUUCUGAGUCUACUGCCAAAGUCAUUUCCUCCUACCUCUGCUGGCGCCUGGGAGGUAUGGGGUCUGAACUGAACUUGGCCAAGGAUUCUUGACCCAUUCGUCAGUUCUCAAAACCAGUCAGACCAGGCUCGUGAAUGACGAGAUGAAGCUUCGACGUGGUGUGACUCGGCUUAGUCACCGGGCUAGCUGAAGGGCUGGCGGGGUACUAGGACCUGCAGUUGCCUUGCCAGGUACCCUCUACCCUGACCACAGCUAAGGUGGGCUGCUUGGUCAGAUCUCUGCUCACUGCGGAAGGACCUGGGUCCUGACUGCCCUGUGAACAGGGCACAGAGAGGCCAUCACAGGUGAGCACUCUGUGGUGGGAGAAAAGGGCCACAGAGAACAGGAAGAUCAUCUGCUGCUUGUCCCGGAAAAGGACAGAGGAUUCAUUUGCUCCCAGGUGUCAGGUGCAGGCUGAGCAGCAGGAAGUGGAAAAGCGGUGCAGGGAACCUAGGCAGGUGGGGAGGAGGGACCGAGAGGUGAGCAAAGAGCCGAUUCAUGAAUUAUGCCUGUGUAUACUUGAGUUAGCAAAGACUUCUCUUAAGAAGCCCCCGAUUUUUAAAAGUGGUUCCUACCCUGAAUAUAAUCAUUAGUAAACAUAUCUGCAGAAGCUCUUGUUAAUACAAACAAAGACAGGCUGAGGAGUGAGCCACACAGGCUGACGCGUCCAGCCUUUUGGUCAUGGCGUGGACGUUACCCAGCAUCUGGGCCCUGGCCCUCUGGAUGUAGACUGCACUGCAGGCCCUCAGUCGGUGGGUUCUGUUUCCUGGAUUAGCUUCACUUCUGAUUCUUAGGGUGGUAUUUUGGAGCUGUUGAGAGGCCCAGCUGAGUGGAGGGCUUUGCUCCAAGACAGACUCGCCCAGAUAGAAGGGCCAGGAGAAAAGUGCAGCUGGCGGCCCCUCUGAGCAGCCCUGCACUCCCC
This 3526-nucleotide long non-coding RNA is filed under the name Bos grunniens (domestic yak). Its description in RNAcentral is "lncRNA (ENSBGRG00000009826.1)". Lineage: Eukaryota; Metazoa; Chordata; Mammalia; Artiodactyla; Bovidae. The record is from RNAcentral.